This 497-nucleotide ribosomal RNA is filed under the name uncultured bacterium. RNAcentral describes it as "partial 16S ribosomal RNA". It matches the Rfam family "Bacterial small subunit ribosomal RNA", at positions 28 to 507 of the family's 1533-position model. The record is from RNAcentral.
GAUGAACGCUGGCGGCGUGCCUAAUACAUGCAAGUCGAGCGAACGGACGAGAAGCUUGCUUCUCUGAUGUUAGCGGCGGACGGGUGAGUAACACGUGGAUAACCUACCUAUAAGACUGGGAUAACUUCGGGAAACCGGAGCUAAUACCGGAUAAUAUUUUGAACCGCAUGGUUCAAAAGUAAAAGACGGUCUUGCUGUCACUUAUAGAUGGAUCCGCGCUGCAUUAGCUAGUUGGUAAGGUAACGGCUUACCAAGGCAACGAUGCAUAGCCGACCUGAGAGGGUGACGGGCCACACGGGAAGUGAGACAGGGACCAGACUCCAAGGGGGGGAAGAAGGAGGGAAUCUUCCGAAAGGGGCGAAAGCGGGACGGAGCAACGCCGGGGGAGUGAGGAAGGUCUUGGGAUCGAAAAACUGUGUUAUAAGGGAAAAACAGAUGGGAAAGAACCGGUGAACAUCUUGACGGAACCAAAUAAGAAAGCCAGGGCAAACUACGGG